CAUGCAGUCGAGGGGUAGAAGUCUUCGGACUUUGAGACCGGCGCACGGGUGCGUAACGCGUAUGCAAUCUGCCUUGUACAAAGGGAUAGCCCAGAGAAAUUUGGAUUAAUACCUUAUAGUAUAUCGAUGUGGCAUCACAAUGAUAUUAAAGAUUUAUCGGUACAAGAUGAGCAUGCGUCCCAUUAGCUAGUUGGUAUGGUAACGGCAUACCAAGGCAAUGAUGGGUAGGGGUCCUGAGAGGGAGAUCCCCCACACUGGUACUGAGACACGGACCAGACUCCUACGGGAGGCAGCAGUGAGGAAUAUUGGUCAAUGGGCGCAAGCCUGAACCAGCCAUGCCGCGUGCAGGAUGAAGCAUCUAUGGUGUGUAAACUGCUUUUGUACGGGAAGAAACAACUCUUCGUGAAGAGUCUUGACGGUACCGUAAGAAUAAGGAUCGGCUAACUCCGUGCCAGCAGCCGCGGUAAUACGGAGGAUCCAAGCGUUAUCCGGAAUCAUUGGGUUUAAAGGGUCCGUAGGCGGUUUUAUAAGUCAGUGGUGAAAUCCGGUAGCUUAACUAUCGAACGGCCAUUGAUACUGUAGAACUUGAAUUAUUGUGAAGUAACUAGAAUAUGUAGUGUAGCGGUGAAAUGCUUAGAUAUUACAUGGAAUACCAAUUGCGAAGGCAGGUUACUAACAAUACAUUGACGCUGAUGGACGAAAGCGUGGGGAGCGAACAGGAUUAGAUACCCUGGUAGUCCACGCCGUAAACGAUGGAUACUAGCUGUUUGGCAGCAAUGCUGAGUGGCUAAGCGAAAGUGAUAAGUAUCCCACCUGGGGAGUACGAACGCAAGUUUGAAACUCAAAGGAAUUGACGGGGGCCCGCACAAGCGGUGGAGCAUGUGGUUUAAUUCGAUGAUACGCGAGGAACCUUACCAGGGCUUAAAUGUAGUGUGACAGGACUGGAAACAGUUUUUUCUUCGGACACAUUACAAGGUGCUGCAUGGUUGUCGUCAGCUCGUGCCGUGAGGUGUCAGGUUAAGUCCUAUAACGAGCGCAACCCCUGUUGUUAGUUGCCAGCGAGUAAUGUCGGGAACUCUAACAAGACUGCCGGUGCAAACCGUGAGGAAGGUGGGGAUGACGUCAAAUCAUCACGGCCCUUACGUCCUGGGCUAMMACGUGCUACAAUGGCCGGUACRRARAGCAGCCCCUCSCGAGGGGGAGCGAAUCUWUAAAACCGGUCMNGUUCGGAUUGGAGUCUGCACCCGAC
RNAcentral lists this ribosomal RNA (1249 nucleotides) under Flavobacterium sp. Its description in RNAcentral is "bacterial SSU rRNA". Lineage: Bacteria; Pseudomonadati; Bacteroidota; Flavobacteriia; Flavobacteriales; Flavobacteriaceae. The record is from RNAcentral.